Molecule: ribosomal RNA, 642 nt
Filed under: uncultured bacterium
Lineage: Bacteria
Description: bacterial SSU rRNA
Rfam family: Bacterial small subunit ribosomal RNA
Source: RNAcentral
CAAAGGUUGAUUCCGGUGGCGGAUGGGCAUGCGUCGCAUUAGUUAGUUGGCGGUGUAACGGACCACCAAGACGACGAUGCGUAGGGGUUCUGAGAGGAAGGUCCCCCACACUGGUACUGAGACACGGACCAGACUCCUACGGGAGGCAGCAGUGAGGAAUAUUGGUCAAUGGGCGGGAGCCUGAACCAGCCAAGUCGCGUGAGGGAUGACGGCCCUAUGGGUUGUAAACCUCUUUUGCCGGGGAGCAAAGUGCCGCACGUGUGCGGUUUGGAGAGUACCCGGAGAAAAAGCAUCGGCUAACUCCGUGCCAGCAGCCGCGGUAAUACGGAGGAUGCGAGCGUUAUCCGGAUUUAUUGGGUUUAAAGGGUGCGUAGGCGGACGCUUAAGUCAGCGGUAAAAUUGCGGGGCUCAACCUCGUCGAGCCGUUGAAACUGGGUGCCUUGAGUGGGCGAGAAGUACGCGGAAUGCGUGGUGUAGCGGUGAAAUGCAUAGAUAUCACGCAGAACUCCGAUUGCGAAGGCAGCGUACCGGCGCCCAACUGACGCUCAGGCACGAAGGCGUGGGUAUCGAACAGGAUUAGAUACCCUGGUAGUCCACGCAGUAAACGAUGAAUGCUAGUUGUCCGGGGCGAUUGAGUUCUGG